RNAcentral lists this ribosomal RNA (486 nucleotides) under uncultured Aminicenantes bacterium. Its description in RNAcentral is "bacterial SSU rRNA". It matches the Rfam family "Bacterial small subunit ribosomal RNA", at positions 902 to 1382 of the family's 1533-position model. Lineage: Bacteria; Candidatus Aminicenantota. The record is from RNAcentral.
CAAAGGAAUUGACGGGGCCGCACAAGCGGUGGAGCAUGUGGUUUAAUUCGACGCUACGCGAAGAACCUUACCUGGGCUUGAACUGCUGGUGGUAGAAGCCCGAAAGGGUGACGACCCGGAGCAAUCCGGGAGCCAGUAGAGGUGCUGCAUGGCUGUCGUCAGCUCGUGUCGUGAGAUGUUGGGUUAAGUCCCGCAACGAGCGCAACCCUUACCCUUAGUUGCCAGCGGGUAAUGCCGGGCACUCUAAGGGGACCGCCCCGGAUAACGGGGAGGAAGGCGGGGAUGACGUCAAGUCAGCAUGGCCCUUAUGUCCAGGGCUACACACGUGCUACAAUGGGCGAUACAGAGGGAAGCAAGGCCGCAAGGUAGAGCUAAUCCCUAAAGUCGUCCUCAGUUCGGAUUGCAGGCUGCAACUCGCCUGCAUGAAGUCGGAAUCGCUAGUAAUCGCGGAUCAGCUACGCCGCGGUGAAUACGUUCUCGGGCCUU